GGCUAGCCCUUGGCUGUGGGCAAAGGCUGAUGUGUCACUCAUUGCAAAUAGUUCUGAAUUAUCCAGCCUCCAUCCCUGUUCUGUACUGGAUGAAACAUUUUGGCUUGUGGUGGAGAGCUCAUAGGAGGUGCCUUAAUGGCUGCUUCUGAUAUUAAAAUCAAUGAGUCCCAAAAUUGCUACCCAAACUGAGAAAACCAGCCUUGUAGCUGGCAUUUACUGCCUAAAGAUGUACUGGAGCAUGUUUAAGCACAGACUCUGCAUUAUCAGACCUUUGGAGAUUACUCCUAGCUUCUUUCCUCUGUUAAAUAUAGCUUGGCUCUGCUGCCUUUCACAGGAAUAAAACUUGCUAUUACUUCUAGGAAUCAUCCAUUAAGUAUGUUUAAAAUGUUGUUCAGCCACGUGUCUGCACUGUUGUGUAAUCCACAGAGCAUUCCCUGUGCACGAUCAUCAUUUCCUGGCUGGUUUAUGUAGGAAAUAACCUUCACUGCUUCACCACUUUGUAUGUCUUUUAACAGACCUCAGCAUGUGGCAGGUUCUCUUACCUUGAGCUAUGGAGUUUUGCCCUUGGCUUGGAAGCACGGAGUGGAGUGGACAUGGCCAUGGACGAGGUGGUCCAGGUCAGAGAGAAGGAGAUGGUCUCACCUGGUGGUUUCUCUGGCUGGAGGUGCUGUCUGAUGGAGAUGCACGGUCACUUUGCACAGGUCCCUCUGGCUGGGUGAUGCUGGUGGGAUUGGGGUGCACAUGGUGGCUGGAUUUCAGCACAGAAAGGGCAGGAUAGGGGGAGCAGCUCAGCAUUCCCACUGGAGGAAGGAUGCUCUGCUCCUCUCCUGAGGAGACCCCCUGAAGGAAGGAGGAAUUGCAUGUAUCCAGUGCUAAAUGCCGUAUGACUCAAGGAAAGAAAUAAUCACACCUCUUUAUUGCAUAGAUUUGUGUUGGGGCCUGACAACCCCCACCAGAUGCUCAUCUUCUCAGUUGCUUUAUUGUAUUCUGGGACAUCCUCAUAAUUGCCAUAAGUGGGAGAUGAUUCCCCAGCAUCUGGCAUGUGUUAAUACUGAUCCAGAGUGUUUAUCAAUGCACUUAAGGAAAGCGAGUACAUGCUUGGUGUGCAGGGAGAGGCAGCCUGGCAAAGUCUAAAGCAUCAUCAUUUGAUCCUAUUUUCUCCUUUGAAUUGCUGCUGAAUGACUUGAGUCCUUGCUGCUGGACCCUGCUGCAGUCUGAACAGUGAGGAUGCAUUGCCCAGAUGUCAUCCCCAUUUCUGGUGAUGGGUAGGAAAGUGCUGCUCUGUUUUCCUCCCCCGAUUGUAUUUCAGGGGCUGCUGAAACGCUGUUUAUCUCUCAGGUCUUUAGAAGUGAAUUUAGCAGUUAAGACACAACAGGAAUCUUCCAAUAAACUAAAACUACUUCUGUUUCAACUUUUGGGUUAGGUUCAAAGCAUCUCCUGCUCUCUUUGAGGCUGCAGAUACCCAGGAGCACAGCUGCUUGGACACCAUUCAGCUCAGCAUCUUUUAACAGAGAAGGGAGCACUGCUUGGAGGUCCAUGGAGGCAGCGAAGUCUCAGGCAGGUGGGUUUCCUCUGUCAGCUCAGAGUGAGGAAAAGGAGGAAUAAAACUGGCUGAAAGCAGAUAUUUCAAGAAUUGCUCCAAAGCUGCUGUUUUCAUUCCAGGUAGGAAUAAAAAACGGGGUUUAGGCAGCUUUUAGUUCUCCAUUUCCUUCCUCUGGGGAGCCUGAAUGAGAGUUCAUGCUGGCAACCUCCAUAAUCCAGGCAGACUUGUGGAGGUUUUAGAGGGAGACAAUAGUGCAAAAGAGUCUGUUUGAACACAGGAAUUCAGUAUUUCCCCACAUUGCUCCUGCUUGAGGAAUGCUGCUGGGUUUUGAAUCAUAUAUGAGGGCAGGAAAGAGGCAUUCUUCAGGCUUGCAGCGCUCCAGCGCUGUCUAGACUUCAUAAUGCAAUGGUGCACACUGCCCUGCCUUGAACUGCUGCCAUGGAGCCUAUAAACGGAAGCUGAGAAGCCUUUGCUCUGCCAAAGCCUCAGUCGCUCUAAUGAGACCUCGGUUCCUGUCGAGUUUGGCAGUUUGUCCCACUGAAGCACUGAGAUUGCAGCAGGUGGGUGCAACGCUCAUUUCCUAAACCACAUCCCUCUGGAAGCAAAAGGCCCCACUUGACUUCCCAUACUGGGGUGACUGCAUCUCCCUCCAGGCUAAUGGAGAUGCUUGGGCAUAGGGAUGGAUGCUCCUGCAUGGGGAGCCUGCAGACCAUCGCUGUGCAGAGGUGAAUUUGGACCAGCACAUCGCUCUAGACUGCUCAGAGCCAUCCCAUUGAACACAGCACUGCCCAUGCAAGGUCACAGCCACCAAAAGCAGUCUUUUUUUUAGCUGUGUCUGUCCUCUCUGGCUCCAUGAGUCUGUUGGCUCUGCAGAGCUGGUUUGGGUCACCGCUGGCAUUAGGAUGCGUUUCCUUCUCCACCCUGCUUUCUUCUUUUUCUGGGAUCAGGUUUCUUACAGCUAAGCAUACUCUUGUCUCUCUGUAUUUCCCACUGAAGGAUGAAGCAGGGCUUGGUCACCUCUGUUUUUCUAAAUCCAGCCCAAGUCAGGAGCAUCUGCCAGGAGGGAGAGGUUUUCCCUAAGCCUAUGGUUUGAAUAACUCUUUGCAGCUUUGCUCCUCUCCCAGGCACACGAGGAGUGGGAAGGACGUCUCUAACCACUGGAUGCUGCCUCCUGCAAAGACCAUGGUGGUGUGUGGCUGUCAGCACACAGCAGACUCUGGGCUUGCUGCCUUUGGUCCAGCACCAAAUCAAAGCCCCCUCUCUUUGGGAUGACCUUUCCCAUGGCACAUGGAGUGCAGAAAUGUCCUGCUUUUACCACCAAAGGAGGGACAUGGGCUCAUGAAUGUUUAAUUCCUGAGCUUGGCAGCGCUGGCUGAAUUAGAAACAGAACAACUGAUUUUAAUGGGUGUAAGAUUAGCGCAGAUGAGCCUGACUGAAACUGUGGUUCCAGAGAAAAGCUCCCUCCUCGGUGGGCUGUUGUGUGCAAGGAUUACUGUAGCAGAACAUAUUCUAAUCAUUGGGCAUUACCUAGGGCAGAGAUACUCAUUAAAUAGGGUCAUAAAGGAUGUUUUGGACAUCAGCUCUUUGCAGGUGCCCUGGGCCCUCAUCGGUUCUACAAGGUGGACUUGGCUACUGAGUGUGUAAGUAGGGAAGAAGGAUGGUGUGGAUGGCUGUGAGAAACCUCCCUUAACUCUGGACUAGCAUCCACUGGAUGGGAAGGAGAAGACUUUGUGCUGUUGCAUGGAGCCACCACAGCUCCAAGCAAGGUCAUGGUGUAUACCUGUGCCUACCUCUUGGUGGAGAGCUAUUUGUUUGAUAUAGUGCUAUAUAAAUAGCAGAUACUGAUAUGAGAGGGCUGGUGCCCCACAACACCCCUGCACUGGGCAGAGCUCUCUUACUGCUAUAAGCAACCUGUUAGUUAGCUCAAUGGCUUGCUUUCCUAUACAGCUGCAAUAUUUGUAUAGCGAGUGGUUUUAUUGCCUGAGCAGUAAGGGAAGAUGGGGGAGGCUGAGCUGAACUGAUUUAAUUUGAUUCCCUGCGUGACUGGCAGCUUUACAUCUGUUUAUAUUUUAUAGGUUUCAAUCGGGUCGUGCUGCCAGAGAUCACAUCUCUGCAGGUUCUGCCUGCUUGGGCUGUUGAGUGGAUGCAGCAGGAGCAUUCAUGAGUGGCGUGUCAUGAACCAUAAACAACGAGGAGUGUCCCAGGGAAGAACUGGGUGACCAUGGAGGAGCAGGUUGACUGUCCAGCUUUACAGGGACCUCCUGCCCUACCACAGGAGAUGCCUUCCUCAGCUAAAUGACAGCCCCUGGUGUUGGGUUGGGAAAAGCUGCUGACUACAGGGCCCGGGAGCUCCUGUUUCAGGGAGGACAGGUUGCAAAUGAGCCAGGAAAACUUGUACUCUAGGACUUGAUCCUCUUGGGAUGUAUCCUGAAAUGGAUGGGAUGCUGGGCUGGGAUGCGAGACUGGGAACCAGAAGGCUGACCCACCUUCUGGGUUUUCCACAUGUACAUCUUGCUCUUUCUGUGCCUAUCCAUGGAGGCCUUGGGGCAGCUUGGAAAUGUGACAUGAAGGUCUCCUUUUGCUACCUCCCUGAAUGGGAAACAGCUUCCUCAUGUGCAUCGGGAUGCUGUGACAGUGCAGGAGCUGGUUGUGUCCUCCAAGAUCCUGGGAAGGUGCUGGAGACAAAAGAC
This is a long non-coding RNA of Pezoporus occidentalis (night parrot), 4233 nucleotides long. RefSeq lists it as uncharacterized. Lineage: Eukaryota; Metazoa; Chordata; Aves; Psittaciformes; Psittacidae. The record is from RefSeq and is a predicted model, not a curated record. The transcript is spliced from 4 exons.